UUCCGUCUCUCCGCUCUUUCUAUUUCUCUCUCGAAUGAUUAGAGAAACUAGGAUUUUGCUUGAAGAUUUUUCAAAAUCGAAGAUUUAUUAAACAAGUAGAAGAAUCUUAGAAGCAAUAACACAGUAAAUGAGACGAUGAUUCGUAGUAGAUUGAAGAAAUCAUCAGACCUGAUUCUGUUUGUCGUAGAAUUUGGGGGUUUCAUCUUUUUUCCUAAUUCAUGAAAUCUUAAAGUUGCAGUUGAUUCUAGUGUUCUACAAAAUUCUGAAACUGAUGGGUAUGAUUGAAAACAACUAGUAAUGUUAAUGCACCAUCAUCAGCCCUUUUCGGAUGCAUAUGUAUAUAAUCUUCAAUGUUAAGCGAUGGUUCUGAAUUGGCGUUAUGAACUAGAUAGGUUUGUUGUUUUAUCAAUAUGCAGUAGCAUCAACUUAGACAUUGAAUGAUUUACUUCUGCUGCGUUCUAGAUGUUUCAUGAUUAGUGUCAGUGUCACUGCCACAUUGAGAAUUGUGUUGUGUUUUGUGCAUUUUUUGAUUAACAUUGCA
Long non-coding RNA from Papaver somniferum (opium poppy), 541 nucleotides. RefSeq lists it as uncharacterized. NCBI's taxonomy places the organism in Eukaryota, Viridiplantae, Streptophyta, Magnoliopsida, Ranunculales, Papaveraceae. The record is from RefSeq and is a predicted model, not a curated record. The transcript is spliced from 2 exons.